UCCAGACUCCUACGGGAGGCAGCAGUGAGGAAUAUUGGUCAAUGGGCGCGAGCCUGAACCAGCCAAGUCGCGUGAGGGAGGACGGCCCUACGGGUUGUAAACCUCUUUUGCCGGGGAGCAACGGGCGUCACGUGUGGCGCCACUGAGAGUACCCGGAGAAAAAGCAUCGGCUAACUCCGUGCCAGCAGCCGCGGUAAUACGGAGGAUGCGAGCGUUAUCCGGAUUUAUUGGGUUUAAAGGGUGCGUAGGCGGAUCGUUAAGUAAGUGUUAAAAUUGGGGGCCUCACCCCCUCCCCGCCAUUGAAACUGGCGUUCUUGAGUGGAAGAGAAGUAUGCGGAAUGCGUGGUGUAGCGGUGAAAUGCAUAGAUAUCACGCAGAACCCCGAUUGCGAAGGCAGCAUACCGGCGCCCAACUGACGCUGAAGCACGAAAGCGUGGGUAUCGAACAGGAUUAGAUACCCUAGUAA
RNAcentral lists this ribosomal RNA (466 nucleotides) under uncultured bacterium. Its description in RNAcentral is "bacterial SSU rRNA". It matches the Rfam family "Bacterial small subunit ribosomal RNA", at positions 330 to 793 of the family's 1533-position model. The record is from RNAcentral.